This 776-nucleotide ribosomal RNA is filed under the name uncultured Neocallimastigales. RNAcentral describes it as "partial large subunit ribosomal RNA". It matches the Rfam family "Eukaryotic large subunit ribosomal RNA", at positions 24 to 616 of the family's 3401-position model. The record is from RNAcentral. Lineage: Eukaryota; Fungi; Neocallimastigomycota; Neocallimastigomycetes; Neocallimastigales.
CACGCAUGACACACUGCAUAUCAAUAAGCGGAGGAAAAGAAACUAACAAGGAUUCCCUUAGUAACGGCGAGUGAAGCGGGAAGAGCUCAAAUUUGAAAUCUUAAAGGGUUUUCCCUUGACGAAUUGUAGUUUAAAGAAGUGUUUUCUGUUGAAGUUUUGGUAAAAGUUCUUUGGAAUAGGACUAUCAUAGAGGGUGAGAAUCCCGUAUUUGACCAUUAUUUUCCAGCUGUGUGAUACACUUUCAAAGAGUCGGAUUGUUUGGGAAUGCAGUCCAAAAUGGGUGGUAAAUUUCAUCUAAAGCUAAAUACUGGCGAGAGACCGAUAGCGAACAAGUACCGUGAGGGAAAGAUGAAAAGAACUUUGAAAAGAGAGUUAAACAGUACGUGAAAUUGUCAAAAGGGAAGCGUUUGACACCAGUGUUGUUUUCUCGAAAAUCAAUUAAAAAAGGCCGGAUUUUGUGUUGUAUUGACCUUAAAAGCUUUCUUCACUCUUUUCUUGUCUUUUUUAAUGCACUUUUCGUUUAACAGGUCAACAUCAAUUUCUUUUGUUGUAAAAGAGUCAUUGGAAGGUGGCUUUCAUUUCGGUGAAAGUGUUUAUAGCCUUUGACUUCUGCAAUCGGAGAGAUUGAGGUCUGCAGCGUAGAUCCUUCGGGGUUAGAUACAUUUGUGCUAAGCUAUAGCCUUGUAUAGACAACUUGUUGACUAUGCUCAGUCAUGUAGCUUACUCGCUUGUGCUAUUUUACCUACGCUUAGGAUGUUGAGCGCAUGUCUCUCUCU